This 508-nucleotide ribosomal RNA is filed under the name uncultured bacterium. Its description in RNAcentral is "partial 16S ribosomal RNA". It matches the Rfam family "Bacterial small subunit ribosomal RNA", at positions 28 to 507 of the family's 1533-position model. The record is from RNAcentral.
GACGAACGCUGGCGGCGUGCCUAAUACAUGCAAGUCGAACGCUUCUUUCCUCCCGAGUGCUUGCACUCAAUUGGAAAGAGGAGUGGCGGACGGGUGAGUAACACGUGGGUAACCUACCCAUCAGAGGGGGAUAACACUUGUAAACAGGUGCUAAUACCGCAUAACAGUUUAUGCCGCAUGGCAUAAGAGUGAAAGGCGCUUUCGGGUGUCGCUUAUGGAUGGACCCGCGGUGCAUUAGCUGGUUGGUGAGGUAACGGCUCACCAAGGCCACGAUGCAUAGCCGACCUGAGAGGGUGAUCGGCCAAACUGGGACUGAGACACGGCCCAGACUCCGACGGGAGGCAGCAGUAGGGAAUCUUCGGCAAUGGACGAAAGUCUGACCGAGCAACGCCGCGUGAGUGAAGAAGGUUUUCGGAUCGUAAAACUCUGUUGUUAGAGAAGAACAAGGACGUUAGUAACUGAACGUCCCCUGACGGUAUCUAACCAGAAAGCCACGGCUAACUACGUG